Molecule: ribosomal RNA, 515 nt
Filed under: uncultured bacterium
Lineage: Bacteria
Description: partial 16S ribosomal RNA
Rfam family: Bacterial small subunit ribosomal RNA
Source: RNAcentral
AACGAACGCUGGCGGCGUGCUUAACACAUGCAAGUCGAACGCGAAAGGGACUUCGGUCCUGAGUAAAGUGGCGCACGGGUGAGUAACGCGUAGAUAACCUGUCUUCGUGUCUGGAAUAAUACGCCGAAAGGUGUACUAAUACCGGAUAUUCUUGCUUUAUAUAAGUUUUGCAAGCAAAGGUUGCCUCUGCAUAUGCUACCGCAUGAAGAGGGGGCUGCGUACCAUUAGCUAGUAGGUAGGGUAAUGGCCUACCUAGGCGACGAUGGUUAGCGGGUCUGGGAGGAUGAUCCGCCACACUGGCACUGGAACACGGGCCAGACUCCUACGGGAGGCAGCAGUGAGGAAUAUUGCGCAAUGGGGGCAACCCUGACGCAGCGACGCCGCGUGAGUGAGGAAGGCCUUCGGGUCGUAAAGCUCCGUCAAAGGGAAAGAAGUGCAUGAUGGCUAAUACCUGUCAUGUUUGACGGUACCCUUAAAGGAAGCACCGGCUAACUCCGUGCCAGCCGCCGCAGUAA